This 410-nucleotide long non-coding RNA is filed under the name Vigna radiata. RNAcentral describes it as "long non-coding RNA (VRAD_LNC014247)". The record is from RNAcentral. Lineage: Eukaryota; Viridiplantae; Streptophyta; Magnoliopsida; Fabales; Fabaceae.
GAAAAGGUUUGCAAAGAGUAUGGAAUGGCAAUUAAUUGAAAACAAAAAUUAAAAAUUGAAGAAUGCACAAUAAUUGGAAAAGAAGUAAAGAAUGAGAACCCUUUCCUUUUAGGCUCCAUUGUAUUGGUAAGAGUAGGGGUUGCCAUCAGUAGCAAGAACUCCUUCUCCUUAUUUUCCUCUUCUUUCUUCUUUUCUUCUUCUUUUUUGUUUUCCUCUUCUCUUCUCUCUCUUUCUUGUCUCUCUAUUUUCUUUCUCUCUUUUUCUUUUCUCUCUCUCUCUUUCAUCUCUCUUCUUCCUUUCUCUUUCUUUCUUCUCUCGCUCUCUUCUCUUCUUCUCGUCUUUGUUCCUCCUGUUUUCUAUCAACAUCUCUUUUUAGUUUCAACUUUAUUUGCUUAGUUUUCAGCUCCAUA